Prunus persica (peach) is the source of this 4015-nucleotide long non-coding RNA. RefSeq lists it as uncharacterized. The record is from RefSeq and is a predicted model, not a curated record. Lineage: Eukaryota; Viridiplantae; Streptophyta; Magnoliopsida; Rosales; Rosaceae. The transcript is spliced from 2 exons.
UCUAUUUUACAAUAAGUAAUGAUAAAUUAGUUGUUAAUCACUAAGCUUCAAAGUACAAUGGUAAGGGGUAAGAUAGCGGGAUGUGGGGUUGAUGAUUUUUUUUUUCUUUUUUUUGCUGAGUGUAUAUUUAAGAAUAGUUUGGAGAGAGAGCCGGAUUUUUUUUUAAAUUGUAAAAAUUUGAUUUAGAAGUUGUGUCAACUUAGAAUAUGAAUACUAGACAAAGAGAAGUGCAGAGAAAACUCAUAAAUAAAUUGAAGCCCAUAUCGUUGCCAGCACGCGGGAGUCCUUAAACGGGGGACACUGGGAUCACAACAGAGAAGAAAACAAACGAAGGCCGGCGCUCAAUCAAGACGGCAUGUGUGCACUUGUUAAGAGGGUCCAAAGAGAUGACGUUGGGCACAACAGAUGUAUGGGAACAUUGGGUAGAACUAUGAUUGGGUCUGGCAUUGACAUUGUGUAAGCUUUCUUUGUUAUUAUAAUUUAAUAUGCUAUUACCAUAAGCAAGGGAGUGCUCCAUAUGCAUUUGGACAGAAAAUAAGUAAAAACUGUUCAGAACAAUGCUUUACAAAUCCAUAAUCUGUAGUGUAGCAGGGAAACAUUAUCAAUAUCGUAAAAUACACAACAAAUAAGAGCUAAUGCAAUUAUUGUUAUAUGUAUUUCAUAUCAUCAAUGUGCUUUUAGCAAAAGAGCGUAUUUAUCUCCUUCCCCAAAAACAUCCCAUGUUCUAAGAAGACCCUGGUCGGCCAAGCAGUAUAUUACAAGAAAUACCUGGUAGUCUAUCGGCGAUCUGGUUACAAUUACUAUUUGCUAAGUAAAUUGGCAUUGUGAUUUAUCUUAGUCAUGUGCCAUUCUAUUGCAUGUGACCUGUUCCUGUAUCAUGUUCAUGUCUGUACAUUGCUUCUUUUAUUUACUUUUUUUUUUUGCCACACAUAUUUCAAUAUAAAUCAUGAUCAGUCAUACUGUUUUAAGUUUUUCUAUACAUUGAAAAAUCUGGUUUGAUAGAUAGGUAGCACUAUAUGUGGAAUUAAGUGUCAAGGAGGUGCUUCUGUGUCAUCUGUAUAGUAUCUUCACCACUUCUGUUUCCCACUAUUGCUUGGUGUUUUGGAACUGCUUGCGUUUCCUUAAAAAAUAUUAUCAAUAGUUUAAACGUUGAAUUUCUAACUCAAGGCGCUGGAACUGAUAAGUCAACCAUAUCGCAAAACUGAGAGAAAUGAAGGUUCUGGACUUUGCUAUUUAUUCCAUCCCAUUGUCUUAUCCUAGAGUACUACAUCUCAUAUGUGUGCAAUCAUAAGAUUUUAUUCUAGCUUGCACAGGAGAUUAUACUUUGAGCAAGUAGAAGAGCACGACUUUUAUGUGAAUGGUAGAAGACUUUUGAAGAGUCAGAAGCAGAAGGAGCUCUCCUUCCUGGUAGGUUUGUUGAAACUGUAAAAUGAAUAUAGUUAGGGUAUACAUCAAGCUAUACCUAAGUAAUUGGACCUUCAAGGAUGGAUGUAGCUUAUUUAUACAUGUACCAUUAUCUCUUUGAAUGUUUGCAAGUCACUGAUAGAUCCAUCAUUUAGUUAUUCCUAGCCUGGUCCAAAUGUUUUUCAAAUGAACGAUUCUUCAUUGCAUGUAGAUUCUUAUAUGAGCUUCAAAUGAAAAUGUUAUGCAUUAAAUUUUACUUUUGGAUGGGAGAACAGGUACAACUUUAUUCGAACUUAGUGUGCAUAAUACUACCAGCCUUUGUAGCCAUGCGGUACCGCGAUGAAAGAGUCACCAUCUUUUCUUCCUUUCUAAAGAUUUCUCUUCAAUCCCUCCUCUCUCUUUUUGCCUCUUUGGUUUUCCAGCAAUAAUAUCCUUCUUCGGUGGAGUUUUCUAGCCAAGAGUUUGUAGAGUAUUCAAUUGCAGACAUUUCUGGGACAUUUCUAACAGAAGGACAAAUAUUCAAUUUUUAAAGAACAUAUUGUGAACCUCUUUCAGAUAUGACUCUGUCUGAGAAGGGAUGAACUUGCAUCAGGGUUUCAGAACUAUACCUAAUCAUCCCGCAUUGGUUUUAUUCCCAAUUCAUAACUCGAAAUUUCUUCUGGUCCUUUGGAAAUUGGGGUAUAAGUUAUAACUGUGAAAAUUAGAAAUGGCAAAAUAGGAAUAACAAAUUAGUUUACCAUUUUCAUAAAGUGUAUGUAUAUAUAAUAUGUUAUAAAUAUAUUGCAACUCUUAAUUUCUAGUUUAUCCCUUUCUUCCAAUGGAUACUUGGGUUAGCAAGGUCGCUGGAUAGCCAUUAUUGAGUAGCGCCUUUUUACGAGAGAUAUGAACAAUAGGCUUUUGUUGAUUGAAAGUAGAGAUAAAAAUCAUUAUGAUUUGGUUAAUCUUGAAAAUAAUUUAUCACUUGCACGUCAUAGAUGAUUGCCAAACCUAAUUUGUUUCAACCGAGUGUCCUAGGCGGUGCACCAUCAGAAUUUUGAACUCACACAUAUUAAUUGGGAUGAUGUGCUCCUCUUGCCCAGUAAGUGUUUGGCAGUCUUGUGCAAGUUGUGGAAGUGUGCAAGUAUUUGGUAUGCACAAGUGUGCUAGUGAUAUACAGUAAAGUGGUGUAAGAGUAGUGUUUUUUUUUUUUUUUUUCCUUUUUGGGGAAUGAAAGAUACUUCAUCAGAAAAACAAGCAACAGAGAGGCAUUACAACGGGUACAACAGAAAAAAGAGAAGAGUACAACUAAACAUAGGAUAGGAGAUGAUGGUAUGGAUAAGAUGAGAUGAAGUUUUAACAGCUAAACUGUCCUCCCAACACCGCACAUGGGAUCAAUUUCUUGGAGGACAAGGAGAGUCUCUUGAUAAGAUGUGCACCAAGAUGGACCGGCUCACCCAAACAUCGUUGCUCAUCCUCCUUUUGGCAAGAGAUUCCUGAGUGUCUGCAACAGCAUUUGCUGAGUGGCAAACCCAGCGCCAAUUGACUCUCCUGUAAUUCAUGAAGGCAAAUCUAGGUAGGAUAUAUCAUCCAACUGCCUUUGAAAAUUUUGCCCUUUAUGCUGCGUAUGAGAUCGCUGGAAUCAGAUUUGUGUUUUGAACCUAUUGUGGGCACAAAGGGGACAAAGUGAAGUAUUAUUCAUCCAAGGUUUGAUUUGGCACAAGAUCAGCUCCCCUACUUGUUGAAUUUAAGGAUGUGGCUAGGGGUCUAAGCUGCAAAUGGAAUUGAUGGCUACCAGGUAGGCUGUUGCCUUUAUUUCGACCAUUGAUUGUGUAGCUUCUCACAUUUGAUCCAACACUCUCCCAGCUGUAUGGUGGGGACAGAGGCUGAGAUUUGGUUUCCACCUCGGGGAUCCAUGGUGGUUGAUUCUCUUCAAUAUGGUUAUUGAUUGUCCUGAAGUGCGUCCAGCGAAAUCGGAUCAGCAGGACAGCAUUAAAUCAGAUCUUUCUGUAGUGGAUAUUGAUCAGUUUAUUAGAUUGCAGAUAGAGGGCUUAGCAGCUGAAUCACUCUCUCCUCUCGCAGCGGGCCCCUUUUCUUUCCCCCGCUGGCAUGAAGAAAGGGUCCAUUUCACUAGCUCUUCUUCUUGUGAGAAUAAAUAGAGAGGUGAGCUUAACCGACCCUUAAUUAUAUUUGUUUGCAGGGCAUCUCACACAGAGACUGGUAAAGGAAACCGGGAGGUGGAGCUGGGAGCUAUUGGAUGCUUGGUGUGCAUGAGAGUUGUAAAUAGGUGUGUACUCUGUACAUGCAGCUUAUGUGUAACAGUAUAAGCCUUGCGUAGGAUCUUCAUUCAGCCUUGCGUUUCCUUUGGAGGCUGCAUUACUGCAGAAUGGGCUUAGUUAAGCACACCAUCAAAGGUUUGUUCCAAGAAGUACUUGAUUUCUACAUGACUCUGUGAAAGUUGAUUUGCUAUCCAGAUAAGCAUGUUAUGAUAAAUCUUGUAUGUUUCUUAGUAUGUUAUGCAUGCGACGUAUGUAUUUUGCUCUCAGAAAAACUAUACAUGUCUGUUGUAAGAAUGACAAAAGGAUGCAAUUGUUUGAAAUAAUAAUGUAAUUCUAUUCACUUUUUGACUUGAGAA